Molecule: ribosomal RNA, 2850 nt
Filed under: Triticum aestivum (bread wheat)
Lineage: Eukaryota; Viridiplantae; Streptophyta; Magnoliopsida; Poales; Poaceae
Description: partial small subunit ribosomal RNA
Source: RNAcentral
AUGAGUACAUCGAGACCCCCAACGCCAAGCACCCCUGCGUCAAAGAUUCAACGCACACCAACGGUUACCCCUGGUGGCAGCUCCAGGGCCCAGGAGGAGAAGAUCCUUGUCACUGUGAGGGUGCGACCAUUGAGCAAGAGGGAAUUGGCCAUGAAGGACCAGAAGGUGGCAUGGGAAUGCGCUGAUAGUCAGACAAUCUUAUACAAGGGCCCACAACAGGAUCGGGCAGCACCCACCUCUUACACUUUUGAUAAGGUGUUUGGGCCAGCUUGCCAGACGGACUUGGUUUAUGAAGAUGGAGCUAAGGAUGUUGCUAUGUCAGCAUUGACAGGCAUUAAUGCCACAAUCUUUGCUUAUGGUCAGACAAGUAGUGGCAAAACAUUCACCAUGAGAGGUGUGACAGAGAGCGCUGUCCGUGACAUUUACAAACACAUCGAAAAUAAUCCUGAAAGGGAAUUUAUUAUCAAGAUAUCAGCUAUGGAAAUAUACAAUGAGAAUGUGAAGGAUCUUCUACGACCUGACUCUGGUCCCCUUCGCUUGUUAGAUGAUCCUGAGAAAGGAACCAUCGUGGAGAAGUUGGAUGAAGAAAUCGCCAAGGAUAGCCAACAUCUAAGGCAUCUAAUAGGCAUUUGUGAAGAACAAAGACAGGUUGGGGAAACUGCACUAAACGAUGCAAGUUCACGUUCGCACCAAAUCAUUAGGCUGACUGUGGAGAGUAGGCUCCGUGAAGCAUCAGGCUGUGUUAAAUCUUUUGUUGCUAACCUGAAUUUUGUUGACCUUGCUGGAAGCGAGCGUGCUGCACAAACACAUGCAAUUGGUGCAAGAUUGAAAGAAGGCGGCCAUAUUAAUCGCAGCUUGUUGACUUUGACUACUGUCAUCCGAAAGCUAAGCUCAGAGAAGAGAAGUGGCCACAUACCCUACCGGGAUUCAAAGCUCACCCGUAUUCUGCAGCUUUCUUUGGGCGGAAAUGCAAGAACAGCCAUCAUCUGCACCAUGAGCCCAGCCCUAACACAUGCAGAACAAUCUAGGAAUACUUUAUUCUUUGCGACAUGUGCCAAGGAGGUCACGAAUACUGCAAAAGUUAACAUGGUUGUAUCUGAUAAGCAACUUGUUAAGCAUCUACAGACAGAAGUUGCUAGGCUAGAAGCAGAACUGAGGACCCCUGACCGUGCCUCCCCUUCUGAUAUCCUCGCCAGAAAGAUUAAGCAGAUGGAAAUGGAGAUGGAAGAGCUACGGAAGCAACGAGAUAGCGCACAGUUAGCACUUGAAGAAAUACAAAAAAGGACGGGUGAUAACCAGCCAGGGUGGAAUCCCUUUGACUCACCACAAAAGACCAGAAAGUGCCUCACAUUCUCUGAGCCAAGUAAUAAUAAGAUUAAGAUGAGGAGCUCGGUUAGACAAUCAUCCACUGCUCCAUUUAUGUUAAAACAUGAAAUUCGCAAGCUUGAGCAGCUACAACAACAACUUGAGGUUGAAGCGAACCGAGCAAUUGAUGUACUGCACAAGGAGGUUGAAUGCCACAAACAUGGGAACCAAGAUGCAGCAGAAACUAUUGCUAAACUUCAGGCAGAAAUCAGGGAGAUGCAAUCUUUUAGAUCUGAGAACAGAGAUGUUGAGAUGGUUACAGAUGAAGGAAAUGGGUCUGACUUGAAAGAUGAAAUUACUAGACUUCAUCUGCAAGACAGUGAUAUUGCCAAACUUGAGGCAAAACUAGAAAAUGUACAGAGAUCUAUUGACAAAUUGGUAAUGUCACUUCCGAAUGCUGAGACUACUCCGAAGUCCAACAGAUCAAAGAAGAAGAAGAGGAUGCUUCUUCCACUGGGUGUAAGCAAAAGACCAAAUCUGAUAAGAGCACCUUGCACUCCCCACUCUUCUAGCAGGCCUUUGGAGUCGGAAGUUGAAAAUAGGGCUCCAGAGGGGGAGAAGGUGUCCCAUGAGGGUUCAGAAAAGGCUACUCCCACCAAGAGUGAAGACACUGGGGAUUUAUCAUCACGUGAUGAAACUCCACGCAGGCGAUCCAGCUCAGUGAACAUGAAAAGAAUGCAGAAGAUGUUCCAAAAUGCUGCCGAAGAAAACGUGAGAAGUAUUAGGGAUUAUGUCACUGAACUGAAGGAGAGAGUGGCAAAACUUCAGUACCAAAAACAGCUACUUGUCUGCCAGGUAUUGGAGUUGGAAUCUAACGAAGGCAAAGCAAAUGAUAUGGAUGAAGAUCCAGUUGAAAAUGCCGGAUCUCAACAGGAUGGUCCUGAAUCAUGGGAGAUAUUAUUUAAGGAGCAGAUGCAGCACAUUAUACAAUUGUGGGAUCUCUGUCAUGUAUCAAUCAUACACAGGACCCAGUUCUACCUGUUAUUCAGAGGGGAUAUGGCUGAUCAGAUAUACAUCGAGGUUGAAGUCAGAAGAUUGGCAUGGCUGCAGCAGCAUUUCGCCGAGGUCGGUGACGCAAGCCCUGCUGCACUUGGUGAUGACCCUGCAGUUUCUCUAGCCUUAAGUAUGAAGGCGUUGAGGAAUGAGCGAGAAUUUCUUGCGAGAAGGAUGGGCUCAAGGCUGACAGAAGAAGAGCGGGAGCGCCUCUUCAUCAAAUGGCAAGUCCCCCUCGAGGCGAAGCAGAGGAAGCUGCAGCUUGUGAACAAGCUCUGGGCAGAUCCCAACGACAAAGCGCACAUUGAGGAGAGCGCCGACAUAGUGGCCCGGCUGGUUGGCUUUUGUGAGGGUGGGAACAUCAGCAAGGAGAUGUUUGAGCUCAAUUUUGCGCUCCCUGCGAGUAGGAAGCCAUGGCUGAUGGGCUGGCAGCCAAUCUCAAACAUGAUCAAGGAGAAAACUCGCCAGUUGGUUUCGACUCCAUUACAGUGA